Oryza brachyantha (malo sina) is the source of this 249-nucleotide long non-coding RNA. RefSeq lists it as uncharacterized. The record is from RefSeq and is a predicted model, not a curated record. The transcript is spliced from 2 exons. NCBI's taxonomy places the organism in Eukaryota, Viridiplantae, Streptophyta, Magnoliopsida, Poales, Poaceae.
GGAAUCGCGGGAGGAGGAGGAGGCGGCGACGGCGGCGGCGACGGUGGUGGUGGUGGUGCCGCGAUUGGUUGGUUUACUUUUUCAAGGUACCCCCCAACCCCAACCCCAACAUGCCUUGCUUUGCUUGAAUGCUUUAGGAUUCAGGUAAUCAGGUUGGUGCCGUGCACCUUCCAUCGCCACAUCAUCCUCCCAGAAAGCGUCGUUCCACGGAUCCUCUGCAGCUAUAGGCGGUGCAGCCCAUCAUUUGCU